Molecule: long non-coding RNA, 23186 nt
Organism: Ooceraea biroi (clonal raider ant)
Lineage: Eukaryota; Metazoa; Arthropoda; Insecta; Hymenoptera; Formicidae
Source: RefSeq, a predicted model, not a curated record
CCCUCAAAACUAAAUCACACCCCUAAUAGUUAAUUUAAUGCAUUUAAUAUGAGUUCCUUAAUUAAAUUUAUAUAGAUUAGAAAAAAUCGGUUGACAUUGUGGACAGUAAAGUUGCAUUUUGUCUAUUAUCUUUUAAAAAACUAGCAUAAAUAUGUGAUUACGCGUCGAGCUGUUCGCUAAGAAGGUAGAAGGUGAAUUGUCGCGUACGAAUUCGCAUUUUUCAUAUCAUGAUUAGAAAAGUGGCAUUUUCGCGAGGAGUCAUACUCUUUCAUUUGCAAACAUAUAGCCGCUUCCUUGGAAUUUCCGGCGUAUUUUGAGAGGCGAGGAACGCGAAAGAAGAUAAAAUAGACGAAACGAGUCGCCGGGAAAAGAGGACACGAAAAGCAGGACAGGAUAGGAGGCGAGACGGGAACGGGGGCAAGGUUGUAACGUUUUCAGGGUGGAUUCCCGGCUAAUUCGAAACAACCUCCGCUCCUCCCUCGGAUUACAAGCGAGUUGGGAGGGAGAGAAAUUGGAAAUGGGAUUGCGCCGUCAGGAGAAAAGCUUUUUCUCUUUUAAAUAACUUACGGCAGCCCUCGAAAAUCGCGGACGUUCCGUCCUCUCGAGAUUUCCACAGAAACUUAUCCGAGAAUUUGCACGCUAUACCGCAUGCAUGCUUAAUUUGCGAGCACUCAGCCAGUUACCAGGAAAUGAUUUUUUAACUAUCUCGAAGAAGUGCUGAGCGAAAAAAAUUGCGGCGGAUCUAUUAAGUCGGUUUGAUUGUUAAUAAACGUUAUUGUUUCGAAUAAAAAAAUGUUAGCAGGAAACGUUCCAAAAAUCCCGUCCCUUUUAUCGUUCCGGCUAUUUAACGCGGCGCGCUUUUCUCGCAGCCUGCCAUUUAUUACUAUUAUCACCGCUGAAUUUACGCUAUUUAUUCCCGCUUGGAUAACUCAUUCGUCCAGCGAUCCGAGCGCGCAUCCGACGUUACGUUCGCCCAGCAUCACGCUUUAUCGCCGCACGAUUACCGACGCGGCACGCCGAUCGCGCGAAUUCCGGCGUUAUCAAUCUUCGUCAGGAAUUUCAUGUGACGCCCGCACGUAUCGACGUCGACGAGGCACGGUGAAAUGGAGUCGCGGACGACGUCGACGCCAAAGUCGGCGUCGCCGUCACGGACGCGGCAUAAACAGGCGCGCACGUGCGAAUCCGCGCGCGAUGUCGCGCGGCAAAAGUUAUUUACGCUCGGUGCAACCCUCGGACCCGCCAAGUUCCGCGACGCGUGAAACGUGCCGCGUGAAACGUGCCGCGUGAAAUAUGACGGGGUCUCGGAACACGUCAUCAGUUUUUCUUCGCCGCCCUUUCUUCACUCGCCCAUAAUUUAAUAUUCGCGAGGCCGGCGCGACGCGGACUGGUCUUUCCAUUUAUCGUUAAACGCGCCGAAAACUUUGCGAACUUUUUUUUAUUGUAAGGACGCAACGCGACUAUUGUUCUUUAUGAAACGUCAUUAAUGUGAGGCUAUGCGUUUUCCGACGUUUUGCUACGUGUCGUGGAGCUUACACCACCGCCGAAUUUUUUUCUCUGAUGAUGUUUUUUCCGCUUGAUCGUGUAUGCAAGUAUUGCAAUGCUUGAUAUGCAAAUAAAUUUUUUUUCUUUCUUUUUAUAGAAGUUUGUGGUUAAUGACUGAACGAUGCUUUCCCUCGAUAAUUAUUUUUACAUUCGGUUUGUUUGUCGCCAGCGCGUGAAAAUUUGCCCGAAACGCGCUGACGCACGACACCUUUUUAUUCACCUUUUAACGGAUAUUUUUUUGCCACGCACGCAUGCACGCACGUGCGUGUACAUUUCUGCUUGGGUUUUCAACCGCGUGUUUUCAACCGCGUGUUUUCUUCCGAGGUGCAGCGAUGUUUCACGCCAGAUGGAAAACACGCGCGCGAUAAUUUCCCCGCGAUAAAUUGUCCGCCGCUUGAAAAUUUUCGUUUGCGCCGUCGCGAGAGAUGCGCUCCGCGGGCUGUGCAACGACCCCGCGACCCCUUGCAAGGAUCAUCGCGUCUUUUUUCCUUUUGCGCGUUUGGACGUUACUCAUUCGCGUUUAACGCGCUACGUUUUCAUUAUGCAACCGGCGUGUUGCCGGCGCGCGGUUUUAUAUGCGUGGCCGCGCCGCGUUUCGCCGCGAAAAGCACGACAGCGAUAACGCGAGCGAGAUAAUAAAUUGGUUUCGCCUUUCCGGAACAUGUCUGUUUGCGGAACGUAAUAUCUGUGACGCGACUGUUUUUCGCGUUCCGACAAUGCCGCCGCCGGCUGUUCUCUCGUGCGUGGAGCACGUUCGCCGUUCUGCCAAGCUCGUUUCGCAUUUUCCGCGAGACGAACACGAAAUUCUGUUCACGAAUAAAAUAUUUCUGUUUAUCAUCCCUUUUGAACGAAGAAAACACCAGCACGUACAAUGUAUAAAAAUGGAAAUACGAUCCUGCAGGAUCAAUAUCUUUAUGGCCCGAAAAAUUAAUUUUGUAACAGGAGAAUAAGAGAUGGCAUGAAAACAAAUUCCAAGAAUAGCGAUUCCAAAAAUUGCUCCGAUCCAAGAAUUAUUUUGAAAUUCCAGGAAUCACUCUUUGAAUAUUUUCGUCGUCGUUGGUAACGUUCGUGGUCCGAUUUCUGGCCCAAAACAUUAAUUUGGUAGUGCCGGAAAUCAAUAGUGCCGUGGAUCAAUAUCUGUUUAUCACGCGCGCUUAUGAUAUAGCUAUAGAUUUACCGUCACAUCUAGUGUGAUUUAUCACUUCUAACUUAUCAGAUUGUAACUUGAAAUAUCUCGCAGGAUGAGAAUCACGAGGAUGCAUGAAUAACGCAAUCGCGACGGUUAAUGCGAGUAUUUUUCGCGAGAUCUUCCGUCGUUUAAUUAAAUACUUCCGCGAAAGUGACAUAAUUACGUCCAUUUCACGACGUUAUGUCACGAGUCUCUAAAUGACCGUCCAUCAGCCGGCGUAGUUAGACACCUCGUACUCCGGAUAAUACCGCUUUUUAGCACGUACUUCUGGAAUCGUAAUGUGGCAGAUGUCAUAAGUCGCCGUUACCAGGGUGGCCUUAAUGGCAUUAUGGAACGUCGUUGGACGAACUGUCAGCGAAGAGAUGAAAGUAUGAAGACAUAAGUGACAUCCGACAUACAGAGAGCGCAUUUACAGGGGCAGAACUGACGUCGUUUACCUUUUAUUUUGCACUCUGUUGACAGAUCAAGAGUGAAUUAUUCUUACCCCCAAGAAACGCAACCUCCUUCUUAUUCUUAUAAUCCUCUGUCAGAUUCUUAUCGUGGUAUCCUACGCUUCGCGGUAUUCCAGUCAUAAUUUCAACCCAUCAUUCAAGUGAGAUUAAAGCGUAACGCGAGCUACUUUAGCGCCAAUCCUGUUCGCUACCAACAAAGGGCAUUGCGAAUGAAAGGAUGUACGCUAUGCGGGAAACGCGAGGAUUUCUAUAAGGAUCAUCUGGCUGCAAAUUGCGUUCAUCCAGCAUGAGGUGCUGUUCGAAUCGUUUUCGUCUCCGAAGCCUUGACGCGACUCAACAAAGCGUUUAAUCCGUGCCGCUUAAAUUCACUCGGGGCCAAUAUCGUUCGCAGGAUUAUCGUUCUUUUAAUUUGCGGCGAUUCGAGGCCGCAGCGAAGGGAAAGGAAGGUAAUUGGCCGGGGUGUCCUCAAGGUCGUCGUCCAGGUCGAUGGACAGAGGAAGAUUAAAAAAAAGAAAAAACUAAAGGAGAAAGAGAAAGAGAGGAGGAAGGGAGAAGGAAAAAACGGGAUCAGAGAGUCUCUCGAGAAAUUCGUGACUAAUUAGAACAAUGGCGGGACACUCGGUGAGUAAGCAGGAUUUUAAUGGACAGACCUUCCAAUCAUUAAGGAGAAGUACUCUCUUCCUUCGCCUAGCCGUGCCUUUCCUCGUCGCGCGUCUAAUCUGCCAUCCUCGAAAUCCGCCGGCGAAGGACGAUGCUAUCUCGGGGGCCAAGAACCCGGAGAUCUCGUCAAGGCCGUCGUAUUUAACGCCGGCUUCAUUUCGGUCGGACGCUUCAAGAUAUGACGCGUAUUCGAAGUAAUUACCGAGUGAACUUUUAUCGUUACGGAGAGAUGCAGAUGCAGCACCUCACCAGCAGCUUUUGAUAUACUUAACAAAGCAGCACUUCGGCGCUUCGCUGCGCUUCAUUCGUAAAAUGAGUUCGCAAGCGCAAUUUCCGUAAACGCGUUGCAUUAAACUAGGAUAUUCUCGCUAAGAUGAUCGCGGAAAUUCGUUUUUCCGAAAUACUGUCGAAUAAAGAGAAAUAUUAAAGAUAAAAAUUUUACGGAAAGGAUUUGAUGAUUAAUGGUUUAGCCUCUGCGAGUUAUAAAAUUGCCUGCAACAAAGAAGUAUAGUACGGAGAGGAAGCAGAGAAGAAGUUAUUUAAUUUCUUAUAACUCAGCAAUUUGUAACUGAGACGUGCUCGUUACACAAAGAUGACGUUCGAGUUAUUACAUUCAUGUCGAGACGGGCGCAAUUAAAGCGGAAUCAUUGUCCUCGCAUUUAGAAUUUUAUUUAUGAAGAGAGAACUACUAUUUUCCGAGCGUGAUACAUUAUCGCGUUGAAAAAUUCUACCUCGGCGCGCAGCUCGGUGUCUUAUUUCCUCCUCAUAAUAACCGAGUCGCUACCAUAUCUCCGCCAAGAGAAGCGCGUACUUGCUAUUUUUGAAUUUAAAGUGCAACUUAGUGUCUCCCGUGAUGUAUCUCGCGAAACUAAAGAUAAAAGCACGGCUUGCAGCGACCCUUUUUCCGCUCGGCUUCGCUCGCGCGGCGAAUUUACGUAGUCUGAGAACUUGUGCUUACAUACUCCUGGAAUAUAAUGAGAUUUUUAAUCAUCGCGUUCUUCAGUUCAACCUUUUUAUCGCGCGCUGAAUAUUAUAUACGAGAAUAUUACAAUAAUACGGUAAUUUUCUUCUAAAUUAUCGUAAAUACGGUAAUUUUCUUCUAAAUUCUCAUAUGUUGAGAGGGAGAUUCGAUCAGUGCAUAAUAAUGUCCAAGUUUGUCAAAGAUACCCGUGCGUUAAGUAUCAUGUUACCUCACGAAAGGCGGAGUACUGGUGGCGUACUACUGCAACGUGUAUGAAUAAUUCAAUGAAACGAUAACGGCGUGUCGCGUGCUAAUUUGGGGGGUCGCGUUUCUACCUAAUAAUUCAUAUAGUUAAUGAUAUAUCAGAGCGCCGUCCCGCGCUCGACAAUUCAACUCUAAGAUAAGGUACCGCAGGGAAUAUUUUCUAGUAUCGGGAUAAACGCGAUAUUAUAAUACAUGAAUUAAUAGCUCGAAAAGAAAACAGCAUUUAUCAUGCUGCUCCAGACACACACAUAGACACGCACCGUUUAUCGUGCUGCUCCACAUACGCAGUAGCAGUGUUAAUCAGAUUUCCGAAAGGAUAAAAAAACCUUAACAAACACCAGAAAUCUAUUAACAUACUGGAAAUUGUAACUGCAAUUUCUUCGAGGCACUCUGCGUUCUCCAUUACAAAAAUGUAACGGUUCGAAGGGUUCGACCUAAUGACCAGUGACCCGGAUUCCGAGCGGAAAAUAUGAGCGAAGAAGCUAGAUAAAAACCAAUACAAUCUCGUCGUCGAAUUAAUAACUGGUUGUGCACUCGGCCGAGUCAAUAUGCGACAAUAAUACGCAUCGAUUGGUAAUAAUGGCUCGUCGGGAUAAACAGCGGCGGGGUGACGGGAUGGCGUGGGUGCGUGCGUGUGCGUCGGACCGUAUAAUUUAUGGAAUUAUUCAGCGCCGAUAAUUGCGCGUUCUGCGGAGCGUAUUACAGGAUCGUUUCGUCGCUGGGUUUAUUGGCAAUAUUUGUCACCGCGCGCUCCCGCUGCAACAACCCUUAGACCUUACUUACUCGGCCGUCUUUAUGGGAUACCUGAGCCGGUAUCGUAAUUAUGGCGGGUUAUGGGAUAUAAAGAGCAACGGAGGGAAAGACGAGCGGUAAACAAGAGGCGGCGCGGCGUGCGCGCAAGAGAGAGAAAGAGAGAGGAGUUGACGGUGAGCUCCGGAUCUUGCCUACAGCUGGUAGUGAAACGGCUUUUGUGCUUGCUACAUUUAUGCCACGGAGGUUGUUGAAGGUCAAAGCAUGUACUCCACGAGUAUACAUGGUCGGAGUAUAUCGGGUGGACGAUUCGAAAGACGUUCGGUCGCUUGUCUGCUUACAAAUGAAUCCGUCGAACCUGGCGAAAACUAGUCACGCUUGGAUUAAUCAUUUCGAUCACGAAAUUUAGUUUAUCAUCGGAAAGAUUUUAUUGUGAUGUUCCUAAAACGAGGUACUAUUAAUUAAGAAUAUUUGUGUAAAUUGUAUUAUUGUAUGUUAGAUAAUAUUGGAUUCAAGGAUUAAAUAUGCAACAUAAAUAGCAUUCGAGUGCGAUUAGAAAAAAUAACAUACAGACAGUAUUAAGGUGAGGCUUUCGACGCGUGAUAAUCGACUUCAUCCAUUCGCGGUUGAACUUUCUUGACAUUUUAAUAAAUGUCAUUUACUUUUCCGCGUGACGACCACGACGGUCGAACGAAAUGUUGAAAAAUCCCAUAUCCCGGCGGAGAGGAAAUGAGAGCAUGCUCUUUCCUCUUCUUGCACUCUCGGUGAAUAUAUCUUCGCAAACAAAUAUCGCAAUCGCAAAUAUUUGUGCGAGCGUCCAUUUUAGCGGCCACCGAAUCGCGCGAACCGAGCAAUAGCGUCCCAAUAGCGACCAUGUUCGCGCGCACGGUCGUACAUUCAAUUUUCCGCCUUUUCCAUGGUUCGUCGCAACGCCACGGCUGAUAUUACGCGUUUUCCAUAAACACGAAGACGCAUAAAUGAAAUAAAUGUCAACGCGUGGCAAGAGAAAAGAGCGAGAUUCCGACGCUCGCUUCUUUCUUAUUUGAAAUAAUUCGUAAAAAAUAUUUACACGCGCAUAAAAUAUAAAUAAUUAUAGAAUAUUAAGUAUUUGUUGCAGAUGUAUAAUAGAUAUAUGAAAAGCAUGUUUGAAUUUUCUUUUAUCAUGCUACACAUGUUCAAAUGGUAAGGAAACGUCGCUUUACUCGGUGAAACAGAGAAAAAUCGCGUUGUGCAUUCCGUAUGCACAGCACUUUGAGAAAAUUACGCUGUCGCCGGCAACUUUGCGCAUCCACCUUUGUGUGUGUAAACUUCUCUCUCGAGUGGAGUAAACGAGAAAAUCUGUUUCGCCGUUGGCACGAGACGGAGUUGUGGAAAUGGUUAAAGAACAGAAUCGGACAAGGAGUGCCGCGUGGAGCGACUUACCGAAUUUCCUGCUGUUCGCGGUAGAGAAUGAGGAUAGAGAGAGAGAGAGAAAGAGAGAGAGAGAGAGAAGAAAACUAUAGAGUGAGAAUAGGAUGAGAGGAAAAAAAGUUUAUCGCGCCUCGGCAGAGAGGGCGAGUGCGACUGCCGGAAAAUCUGGAAAAUUAUUGCUGCACACUGCCGCCGCCGUGCACGGCGAGAUAGGAUUCGCAUCGCGACCAAGAAAGAAGGCCUCCGGCGGAAAGAAGCUGCAGGUGCAACUCGCACGUGCAGCGCGACAGAUGCGGGUGUAAAACGAGAACGAGCACAGGCGACAGAAGUUCGCGAGCUCGUCCGGAAAGUUUCGAUUCGAAGAUUCGGAGUAUGGGAAAUAUCGCCGGAAGCGUCUGCCGCUGAUAGAUGCUUAAUUCACGAAAACAUGAAAUAGACGCACUCCGAAAUUUAUUCUGAUGAUGAGUCUCGAAGAUAGCCAUUUACGUUUUCACGUGCAAUUUUCGCUCGCCAUUUAUCUUCUUACUUUCUCAAAUGUUCUCUCUUUCUCUUUCUCCGUCUUUCAAGGGCUUUCGCGUCUCGUCUUCACGUCUCGCAUAAUGAAACACAUCGAUCGUAUGGCGCGAUGCUAAUCGCAGCACGCCGAAAAUGGUGAUUUGUUCUAAACGAAAGAUUUAUAUUCCAAAGGAAUAUAAAUUUUCCAUUAGCGAGGAAAGUUUCGAGGAAAGUUUCGACGAGGAUGAUUCGGGGCUAGCGAACCUUUACGAUGAAAACGUUGCGGAUGCAAAGUUCUGUUUUAGAGCACAACUUGCUGAUAGUAGAAUGAGAAAGUGAGAUAGAGCGGGACCAUGGAUAUUUUGAAAUUCGUAUCAGUAGGAAGUUUACGAUGAUGCUGCGCAGACGCGCUUCAUCUCUGCCGUGCGGCAAUAAGUUUCGGGACUUAUCUUCGGGAUAAACGCAAUUCUCAGAAAUUGAGAGACUUCCCGCGGAAGUCAGGCCGGCCAUGCAACCAGGCCGGUAAAAGAUGGAAACUCUAAACGAUCUGGGGAAAAUAUAUGUAUGUAUCCUAGUUGUCACAGGAAGAAAGAUAAAUCCAAUAAAUUUGUACAACUAUAAUUAUUACGCAAUUUAUUUUUCAUCAAUCAUCUUCGUAGCAAUGUAUCUUUGCGAAAGAAACUAAAUCUCUUUGCCUCGGAAUAUUGCAAAAUCAGACCACUCUGGCGCGAGAAGUACUCGAUCCCGAAUACGUCGAAGAUCCCGACGCUUUCCCGGAUAUUUCAUCGCCGGUAACGAGAUCAGUUGGCGUUCCUACGACGGUCGCGGAUAGGGCUUCAAGUGGAACGCGCGGCUUGCACCCUUCUGGUGGCAACUGUAUCCACUGUAUUCGAGUACCUUCCCUCGUUCCUUCCCCUGGCGCGAUAAAUCUUGUUAGCGACGUUACCUAUCCUCUUAAUCCGUGGACGCGUGUCCACGUACGUCUAAUCGUUCAUCGAACCAAUGACCAGAGAGCCGGUCCUGCUGCAAAACCUGGCACGCGCACAUUUCCCGCUGUUAAAGGAAGCUUUGAUUACCAAAGGGAUGGAGGAAGAUAUCGGAAGAUGAUACUGCGGGGAGAAUCGGAUCCCGUGAUUGCCGUAGUUGUAUGGAAUCCCAUAGGAGGGGUCGGCUCGGUCGCCGGGUAAUUCAGUUCCAUUCGAGACGACUCGAAUGCCCCCGGUAAGCGCCCGUUGUCAACUUUGGUCCUCUAACUGUAUUGUUGAGUUUUCUCCGCCUAAGCUUUAAAUGAUAGCACAAAUUUCAAGUAAUAGUGCACAAUUUCUAAGAAUGCUGUCCCGCGCGGAAAAUUGAAUUCAGGUUUAGAAUCGAAAAUGGAGAGCACCUGCGAUGCGUAAUAAUGGAGUUUCGUGAAGCAUUUGGUGCAUUCUUGUCAGCACGAGAGAGAUUCGCUGUUCAUUAAAUUCGAUUACUGUCAAUCAGUCUGGGAAGAGUACUACUUGAUCACUGUAGUCGGUGAGGCGAGGCGCAGCUGUUGCGUCAUGCUUGGAUAAUAGAGUUUUCUGUUUGUGAAGUGAAAUUAACAGAUCCUCUCGGCCACACGUUUUAUCACUUUUGUCUAAUUCCCUAAGUCUAAUUUCUAGUAUUCCAAUAACGGAUUUCGGCUGAUUAAAUAGGAAUGUUCGCUUGCUAACGAUUUAAUAUGAUAGUUACUUGAGAUAAGAACGGAAUAAGAGUCAAUAGGGUCAAUCCAUAUGGCUUUAUUCUAAAAAGAUCAUUCGUACUUUUUUCGCAGAUGAAAGAAGCGGAAUGAGGACAAAUGAAAAAAGAUCCUAAGAGGAGAGAAAUCUGAAUAUGAUUUCGUGAUCGGACAAUCGGAAUUUGAGGAUGUGUAAUUAAUUCCCGGAGCAGGGAAAGGAUCGUUAUGAAUAAUGCGGGAAGGUUAAUAAAAGCGCUCUUGAUCUGUCAGAAGACGAGUUUUUCCAGACCAAACAGAAGCGCCUCGCUUCAUCAUCAUCGAUUAACGUAGGCGGACGGAAGCGACUUGCUAUUGUUCCCUCAGGAAACUAGUAGAACAAGCGUGCGUUAUAUUAUGCAAAGCUUUAAUCGCAUGCCUGGGAACCGUCCUGCUAAGGGCAAUUAGCCUUAUGUUCUAUUUAGCGGAGACAGGCAGAGAGAGAGAAAGAGAGAACAGACGCACAAACUAAAUAUAAUAUCUAAUAUUUUCCGCGCUUUAUGUACUCUACUGCAAUAAAAUAUGACUCGGAAAUGUAUAUUUCCUCGUAAAUUGUAUUUCUGACGUUUUGCGCGGCCCCUUUCACGUCGGGUCUUCGAAUCCAUGUAAACCGUAAACGCGGACGUGACGUAAACGGUCCUAAUGAAAUACAUUUUUAAAAUAGAGUUGCACAGAACAAGCGACCUCCGCAUUACGAGCUCGCUUAGAUGCAGAAAUAUUCCAUGCAAUAUUACGCGGAUCUCACAGGGAUAACUUUUUCCCGCAAAUUAUCCUUUGUCUCUCUCUUUCCCAUUCGCCCUUCUUUCUUCUCUCUCUUUCUUCCUCCCUGCGGGGAUCAGCGAGGCACACAAUUCCGAAUUACACUCUGCUCGCAGAUGCGGAUGGACCAUUGUGCGAGGGACGAGCGUCUGCAUGUUGAUCCGCUGACGUGGGCCCCGAGGUGUAUCUGCCUCUAAUAGAGAGUGGCUACCCCUGGGGCAGCUUAUGCCAUUUCGGCCAGACCGGGCGAGCAUUACACCGACUCUAGAUGGCUUUACCCUCGUUUCUUCCUCGAGCUAUGAUAGAGCCGACCGUGUCUCUUCGCUGGUCUAUGCUCGCGCGCCACUACGAAUUAACUCCGAAAUACUCUGUGAUAUUUCGGAACUGCCCAUGGGACUGAGUGGCCAUUGUUACCAGUCUCCAAUUAACCGAAAUAACAUUCGUUAUCAUUCCGCGUUCACGAAAAUGUCAACUGCACAGCUUUCCCUGAGCGGCAAUUUCUUCAGACGAUCGCGAUCAGACGAUGAUGUCGCCGUUUAAUUGUCGCUAUGAUCAUCACAAUAUAGCGAAAGCAGCAAAUGGGACUCUUCAUGCUUUUGCCGAAAUUUAUUUCGUGUUGCCCGAAAAGUCUACGAGCAUGAGGAGAAUUAUUUGAGAGUGUCCUGUCAUCAGGAACAUUAUCGCACACAUUCAACGUCCGUUUUCGUGUUGAAACGCGUGAGGUAACAGUGCUGAUGAUCCCGGCAUCGUCUGCUGGAGAGGAGUGAGCCAGUAAUUUCAUUUGUACGACGAGCGGCGCGCGACUUGCGAGGCGAGUAAAUGAGCGUCGCAGUCGGCAUAAUGCACGACGAAGAAUCCUAUCGGAAUGGCAUUCCCGUCACGGAAACGUUUCUCGUUCCAGCUCCUCCGUCGCUCCUACCGGACUUUAUUGCAUAUCCCGGGUUCUCUUGGCUCUUCUUCGCGCCCCCGCGGUGAGACGAGACGGAGAGAUGCGGCAGUAUAUGCGCGGCCAUACCCGAUUUAUUGCGACAGUGACACGUACAAUGUCGUGCGUGUCACCGUCGCAUGUUCAACGUCUGACAUGUAUAAUGCAGUAAGACGCGCACGAGCAACAGAAUUAAUUCAGGCGCAGCCGAAUCGCGAAUGACGGCGGGAUAAUGUGAAGCGUCGCGACGUCGAUGUCACGUUUGAAGCGAGGAGACUGCACAGAUUUUAAAAUUAGCCACACGUUGUCAAGAUAUUCGGCAAAUCUCGCGCACAUAAGAUCGAUCCGCUGUCGAUAUUCUCUUUAUUCCUUUUAUUAUAAAGGAUCCGCGAAAUUCGGGACCUAUUUUUAUCUCGUAUCUCCCAGAGCACGUACGUGAAACGUACGUCAGAAUGACGGAUAUUCGUGAACAUUGAUUUACUGUUCGGCAGAGACAAGUUUAGAUCUUUCCGAUUUCUCUCGUGCUUGCUAAUAAAUGUAGUCCUCACGUAAAACUGGAACUAUUUCGAAAUGUAGGUCGAUCCCUCCGGCCCUUUCCGCCGCGGUGAAUAUUCUAUUCUCGCCCCAAGUAUUUUCUCUCCGCAUGACACAUUCACCAAUCUUCGAUUUCAAUUAUUUCGUCUGUGCUUUUCUAUGGUAUCUGAACGUUCAGAUACUCGAUUCUCUGCAUUGGCUUAUUAUCGCCUUCCUCUUAUCACGGACGAUCCACGCAUUCACACGUCUGGAUUUUACAUGCGAUUCGUAUGCGGAGGAAAUAAGCAUCGCCGAAAAAACGAGAAAGCGUUUUGACAAACAAGAAGAUAUAUCUCUCCUUAUGCCUCGGCCGCGCUUCUUUUCGCCGCGCCUCGUAAUGGCAAUUUAUAUCCGCGCUUCUCGUAACUCGGACUUCGUGGCGUGAAUACAAAUGAGCGUACGCGUCAGUUCUGCGUUUAAGACAGCCAAGGAGGAAGAGAGAAAAAGAGAGAAUACGUUCACACUAGCAAAAUCACAAACAAAAUGCACACAAGCGCUAAAACCGACGUAUCCACGCACGUAUGCAUGAUAAUACAGUCUCUUUCCGAUUGAUACCUCGAUGGCUUAUUAUUCCUCCCCGUUCUUUUUCCGUGAGUCACGCUGCGCGGCCGUAAAUCCGCACCCAUAAGAGAACGGAAUUUUCGUUCGUCUCCGAAAGAGCGGGAUAAUACCCGAGAACGCGAAUCGCAUCGGCGACGCCGAGCAAGCCCUCAUCCCGAAUGCACCUCCCGCCUCCCGAUCCCUCACCUUCACGUUCCACAAGCGAGGUAACAGCGAGAGACUUCUCUCUGCUGUCGUAUGCUAACCGUCAGAAAACCUCUCUUUCCCUUGUCGUCGUAAAUCUUCCUGAGGGUUCCGCAUGCCGCGGGAUUUAUGCUAAUUUUUAAUAUCCUCGCGCUUAGUCGAAUAUUUCCACCAAAUCGAGCAUUCCGGCUACCUUCCGUUUUGUCCUCUCCAUCUCUCUCGACAGCCUGGCACUGACUCUCCGUCGCAUCUCCUCCUCUUUCUUCUGUCGACGAUGGCAAUGCGACAUAAAUGUAUAACACGGUUGAUGCGUGUGAUUCGCGUACAAAAGCGGAAAAGUACUUUCUCGGAGCGGAAGGCGACCAUAGAGCGAUAUUAAUAUUCUGCGUCCGGUCCGACCCUCGAGAGGACGUAUCGUAUACUCCGGUUUACGGCGCGGUCCUAGGAUUGCCAUUUUCUCGUCCGUAAUCCACGAAUUUCCACAGAGAACGCGGACACGCACGUGUCCGUGCGCUUCGGCACGCUCACCACGCGAGAGAGCGGGCGUGUUCGCGCGUUGGACCAUUGUCUCUCUUUCUCUCUCUCUCUCUCUCUCUCUCUCUGUAUCUCUCUCUCCCUCCUUCAUCCAGAAUCCAUUGUCAUCGCAUAAUCGUCCACCGGCAUGCAUUCCCGGCAUAAUCCUGCUGGCCGACGAGAGGAUCAACGGAGGUCUUACAAUCUACCCUCGCGAUAUAGUUUGUAUAACGACGUCGGCACGUUCUGCCCGCACCCCCGCCGAAAACAUGUAUUCUAUUCACGAAUCACCGUGACGGCUAAUGGACCAUCGUGCUGGCUCACCUUUGUACCAUUUUUCAUCCUCGUUACUUGCUCGUGUACCUUUCGGGAACAUUUUCCUAAGCCCCUUUUUGUGGAUCCAGUUUUAGUAUCGAUUUAUUCAAUUGUUCGCUCUCGGCAAAUCCGACUGCGAUGGGAAUGAAUGUAAUUAAUGGAGAUAUAUGGAGGUUUUUGUAAUUUUCAGCAACCAUCGACUGUCUUAUCGGAUGGAACAACGUAAUUAAUUCCAUUUCGAUUUUCAUAUUCACCCAAUUAAAUAAACAAAUCUUUUCCCGAGAUAAAAUGGGUCCGGCUAAUGCACGUGAUACUGUUUUUCACAUUUAGCUUACGGAUUAAACGAAUGCGUUAUGAAUUAUGAAAUGAUCCACCAAUUUUGUUUUCUCCAUCUGAGUUGAAUUAAAUAAAUCCCGUCAUUAAAUCCGAACGAUCAUCGAUUCGGACGGCGGUAUAUAGUCCUAAUUCACGGAUCGUGGCGAUUUUAUUACGAGAACGGGUAAUGGAGAAUUAAACUUUACUAUCCCGAAACUGCAUUACGCUAAGUAAUAUUACGUGUUCCAUCAACACUUUGUCGUUCACCCCGCUUUGUCGUUCCGCAUUCUCGUGUUUUCUCUCGAUCCCGAGAUUCGCGCGCGGGGAGAAGUUCCAGCACGGACACUCUUUUUUUCCAGCGCGACCUCGCCGUUUACUCGCAGUCGCGGAAGUUAAUAAGUAGGAAGCCUCGACGUAAGCCUCAUAAUAAAGUGGAGAAACGUACGGUCCUCGUUCCCGCGCACCACGGAAAUGUCGGGAAAUAUUUGCUCCGCCAACGGCCGAGUUCCGCCUUGCCGGUUUUUAUUGUAAGUCUCUUGUUUCCCGAAGUUUUCACGGUAGCACACGUUCUUUCGCGGCAGCGAUAAUUAAACGCGACACGAGACCAAGCCUCGUAACAUGACGUUACGCGUGUUCCUUCAAGAAUGCAGGAACAAUCCAGGCGAUCCUGACGCUGCAAUAAAUGCCAUCGAUUCUCUGCCAGAUUCUUUCAAUUGUCCGAGCGCUAUCGAAUCAAAUGCAAUCGCAGAAUUUUUAUCAACUUCAAUUAAAUCUGCGUAAUAGAAGGCUUAGUGUCGGAUAUUUAAUUUCAACUGUUAUCCUUUCGCUUUGUUUCCCCAGCUUACCGCUGUGAAGAGCUUCAUCUUCGCAGUGAUAUCGUACCAUCAUACGUUUCAAUCUACGGAAACGACGCUGCGACGAUUCCGGCGCGGUAUGGCUUUCCGCCGAGUACGCUGACUGCCGUUUCCCGAGUUAAUAGACAGAAAAUCUCGAACGUAAGCCGCAUAAUAAAACAGUGGAGAGCUGGAGCACGCGGUCCUCGUUCUCGUCCCCGCACUCGUUCCCGUAUCCCGAUGUUCUUACGCGACCUGGAAGAAAGGAGACACGAUUCCCCCCUUUUGUGAAAUCUGCUAUACGGCCGUGUCCGCUUCCGCGAGGUCGGGUAUACCGGGUAUAUUUCGUGCACCAGGUGGUACCACGCCGACGGUUAAAACAAUUUGCCAUAAAUUCUCCUCGCGAGCGGAAGGCUACGGGAGGGCGGGGCGAGGAACCGACUGCGGAGCUAGAACGUCGGGAGGAUUCGGGGCAGGGAUUCUGGAAAGAGUCCAUUCGCGAUGAACCGAUUUCAUUUCCUGUCGUUGCGUUUCCGCCAUGCUUAUCCGGCAUGCAAACUGUCGUACUACCUCGUACGUUCGUAAUCUCUCUCUCUUUCUCCGUCUCCCAAUAUCCCAUCCUCGAGAGCUUCAACGACCUCCGUGAUAAUACCUAUUUUUUGUAUGUAAUUAUGACGUCUCUCGAAUGUAAUGUCACAAACCAUGUCCGGUAAUGUACCGAUUAUCGGAAUAAUUUCUGUGUUAUAAACGGGAAGUCGUUAGCGCAAAAGAUGAAAUAAAUCGGAAAUAAUCUUUCCAAAGGGAAACGAGUUGCAGGCUGCAACGGUAAUUUGAGUUCCGCGCGAGCGGAAGGAAGCACUUCGACGAGGCGCGAUCCCGUUUCUGCACUCUCGAGGCAUCGAAAAAAAUGCCUGACAGCUUCUGGAAGCAGCCGGAUGGCCGUACUGAAGAGGCUGGGAAGAUUCAUAAAACAAGAGAAGAAGAGCGAGGGCGACAUAUUGCCGCGCGUGGCAUGUAUUAUGCAUGAAGAGUUCCUGGGUGUCCUCACCCCGCUGCUCCAUCUCCUCCUCCUCCUCAUCCUCCUCCUUGUCGUGUCCCUCCUGCUUUUACGCGGGUCUAUUAAUUCGAAAAAAACUGUUCCUUUGCCACCGUCAUCGCUAUUUCCACGAACGAUCCCGAAACCGCUGACGAACAAACAGCCCUCAAACGCCGCGUCCAUUAUCUCAUCCCCUCGUCGUUUUCCCUUCGCAGCGGCUCUUCGAUUUGGCACAAACGCGAGCGGCAAUUAAUCGAUCGAAAUGAUCCGUAAGCAAACGUCAUAAAAGAAUACAUUCGGUAAAUAACAGUCCAUUUCAGGGGUGCUCGUGUUUGCGUUUGUCGGGAUUUGGAGGAUCCUCGUCACGCAAAACGAGGUCCUCCCGAUAAAAAUAAAUUGAUGUCUUAUGAAACAGAGGCUCUGUGCACGAACAGACCGACCUCCUUAGAGUUUGCUUAUUAAUAUCUUCCAUGGAGAAACUAAAUAUAGCCCGACACGGACGAUCGAUAUUUAUUUGAAUCGGUUAAGGUAAAAGAGACAUCUGUGCAUGAGAGAGUCGCACGAAAUUGCUCUUUUGGUCAACAUAAAUUCACGUAGUUCCAAAGCUCAUAAAGCUCCCUCAAUAUUUUAUUUUAAUCUUCAAAAUUAAUUAAAUAAGUUCGAGACACCUGGUACAGCUUCAAACGCCAGGUACCUUUGAUAAUUAACGGCGUACCGUCAGUUAAGAAGCCGCUCAAUGACGAUUAGAUAACGUCCGUAAUUUAUUUCGCGGCGUGACGCGGGUUUAUUAAACGCCCUUCUCUUCAAAAUCAUCCCUCCCUUUGUCGACACGCAAAUGACGCACGAGCCACCCCCGCGUCCAUCUCUCGCCCAGAUAAAACCAUCCCAUUUGACUGUUCGUGAGUGCUGCAGUUACAAUACCGUCGCCAUCGCAGACGCGAUCACGACGUGUUCGGAAAUCGACGCGGGAAUCUCUUAUAUUGCACCACCAUCCGCUCCGUUUCCCCGCUCUCACGUCGUUGGACGCGCAUGCACGCGGUGGAUGACGCGCGAGAGCGUAAGGGCGAAGGAACGAAGCGAAAGUAAACCGGGCUUGAUGCGAAACCGAUAAUGUCGCCGUCGCUGCAUGUGGCAUUCCAGCCAGCCGAUGGAUUCGGGAAACGCGAACCAUCCCGCGUUCGCCACCCUCCUCCGGAGGAGGACCACCUCCGUCUUUCCGGUCGCUCCCACUUCAUCGGUGGUUCGUGCGAGUGUUCGUCGUCGUCGUCGUCGCAGCCAAUGCCGCAGCCACGACGAACAAAUAUAUAUUAGAUUUUUAUUUGCCUCGUCGGAGGGAUAUUGCAAAUGGAAAACGCGACUGCGGCGCGACAGUGUAUUUCACGAGAAAACAUUCUGCGGGGCUCGUGCAUGCGUGCUCGCGUGCCUGCGUGUAUCGCGAGCUGCGUAUUUCAUACAUGUUUGUGAUCCUUUUUACGUCGCGCGUUCUCGAUGCGAGGCGCGCGACGGUUAGGUAUACACUCACGGGGGAUGAUAAAUUGUAAUAACCCGGUAAGCGGCAGCGUAUCCGCGCGUGGAGCUCCAUGAAAUUUUAAUGCGGCUACGAAGAAUAGAAUGAAUCGAUAUCUGAAUCGGUUUAUGUGCGCGGUGACACACGAGGAGAGUCCGACCGGAGUCGUCCGACGUGUGUUUUGAAAGUUAUAUAUACAAGAUGAAGCAUUAUGCAGAAUUUUACGUCAUUGUAUAAUCGCACGGGCGGUGAAAUUAAUAAUAAUUUGCGCGAUACAUUAAAAUCCCAGAAUUAAUCUAGAGAUUUGUGAAUAAUGCAGUGCGCGAAGUAUUAUGUCUCUCUCUUUCUCGUAUUGUUCUGAACAGCCAGUCGUUUCUCCAAAUUAUUAUCUUUAUUCGGUCUCUUGGACAUCGCAAAUGGAAGGAAACACCCGCAGUCUGGAACUUCGCACUAUUCGCGUAUAAAAUGGCCCAUUGUCCCCGGUGUGCGCGCUGCACAUUUCAAUUCUUCUUACCGCCGGUUGCCUCGUGUUCCUCCGGCGCACCUGAGGUACGCACUUUCCCAUGAAACUGCCACGCUGCGCAUUUUUGCGGGACAAUAUUUCGCCGCGAUUACCAACUACUGACCGUUUUUCUUCAUUUCUGAUACAUUUCGAGGAUGCAGGUAAAGGAGCGCGCGCUGGACGUGCGAUGUGGUACCGCGGAAAUCAUGGAACCGCCAUAAAGCGAGAGAACAUGAAAGAAGAGAGCAUUACGAACAACUCGUAGAUGCAUCUCGACGUCCUCCUGUUCGUUUCGCCACGCGAGAUGCGGAGCGUCCAACGCGAAUGCAAACCGCCCAUCGUCCGCGAUGCAUCGCGCGGCCCGUCCGAUGCAUGCAUCCCCGCAGCGCUCGUAACGCUCGUAUUUUACCACGUGAAGCAUCGUGGGGGAUGCGUCGGGCGAUUUACGAGGGUGAGAAGAUUUAGGAGCGAAAGGCCGACGCGAGGAAUCGGGGGCGCGCCGGCAGCGCGAUAUUCAAGAUAUUCAACGACGACGUAGCUGUUCAAAUUGCGAUUAUUGUCCUGGUAAAAGAGAGGAAGAGGCCUGCGCGAAUCAGCCGUUUAACAUUCGCUCCUCAUAUCUUCCGGUGAGUGGAAAAAAAUGUAGAAGAGGGAUUUCCUUCUUUUCCUGGCACAUUACAGCGCUUUAAAGAUAGAAAAAUCGUUAUUUGUCUCUUAACACGGUCGAUUAGACGUCAAAGAGGAGAAAUGGACGCAAAGGCGCAGAUGGAUCCUUUGUGACGGAGAAGCGCAAUAGUAACGUGGGAUACUUUUCGGCAAAGUCAGAUAACGGAUUCCUCUCGGGAGAAACGGGGAAUCCUCCAGGAGUUUGCCGCGGAUAUCUGCUGUACAAAAAGCGUGCGAGUGCGCGAGCAUGCGCGCACGUUUGUUGCGCUCGAGAAAAUUCAGGUCGACGGUAUUCUCUUGAAUCGAGAUCCCUCGGUACCGUAAACCACGAAGCAUCGACGCGAAAGCUGCAGCUUCAAACUGUGUACCUGCAGGCGCAGAUUCUGCAAUUUAUAGCUCUUGUAAAUGCAAAUGCUACUGAGUUUCCAGCCGAUAAAUGAUGGCGUUAAAACAGUUUGAAUGUACGGUAAAAGUGCUGAUUUCUUUGUGUCACCCGUUAAAUCUUUUUAUCUACUUGUCCACAUGUAUGUGUAAUGAUGAAGUAUAUUGUAAUGUACAGCAUUCCGCGCACACGCGCGCGUAAAAGUGUCAGAAAAGCACGACUUACCGCGCGAGUGGAUAAUUUAGUAGCUUUUACAUGUACAAUCUUUCUCGUUGUAUCUCGAAUUGACAAAAAAAUGUUUAAAAAAUGUACUCGAGAACGCUGACUUAGCAUAAUCUCGAACUAUUAAAUAAUCGAAUUUUUUAAAUUUUCCUAAGCAGGUUGCUCCAUUCUCUCAGCGCACAGAAUUCUGAUUUCAGGAGUCGCAUGUACACACAUCAAGCGCAGAGUAUCUCACGCUUGACAGCAUAAUUCACGAGAUUACACUAACAGUUAUUGACGCAACGGAUUGGCGGCAAUAUUUCAAGAUACCGGAGAGCAGGAUAUUGAGGCGAGGAGGAAUAAGUGCACGUCGGAGGAGCCCGAGGAGUGAUCGAUCGGCUUCACGUCGUCGUCGUCGCGUCGUCAAACAAUGGAUGAUACACCGAACGUAAUAUCACUGUCAAAAUAAUGGCGCUGCGCGGGUUCACGUUCGCGGCUUUGCAAAUAUUGUGAAUACCGUGUCGCUCUGGGCCGCGGGCGCAUUUUGACGUCGUAUAUUAAAUUCUGACUGUGCUGAUAGGCAUAGUUCACGAAGGCGGAGUAUGUCAGCUGCAUACCGGGCUCAUUACCGUUGUGGAGCACGCCACGACUGAAAAGCACCGUGCUGCCUUUGUCGUACGACGCGACGGUACGACGAUAUCACGACGAGGUCGGGAAACAACCAGCGCGGCUCUUCUAACUUUCGAGAACGACGGCGCCGUGUGACGGUCGGACGCGUGACCGGAUUGACGGAGCGGCGAACUUAAUUAUGGAGAUCCAAUGGAGAUCCGUUCCUGGGCAAACAUGCGUUCAGUCCCUGCUUUAGGCGUCUUACGGGAUAGUUAAAGUUCCGACAGCAAGUAAAGCGACGAGUAAAGGAAGCACUUCGCCACGGAGAUUAUUAAGAUAGUUUUUACUUCUUGUUGUAUAUAAUAUAAAUAUUGCGCUAGGGAAAUGCAAGCGCGUACUAGUACAUCGCAACUUUUUAACGAUUUUUUGAAACUUUUUUCUAGACGUAACGUUAGAGUGUGAACGUGCUCGCUUUUACAUAUCACCCAAGGAAGGGUAUAUCCAGGUAAGACGCGCACUUCGAUUUUCUUUAUGCGCGAGGAAACGUAAGCUUGUUUGCACCGCCGCGGCCGUUGCGAAAUGCAUAAUCUUGUACAGUGUAUUAUCGCGUAACACGUAUGCGCGACACACAAUAGCGAGAACUCGCCUGGUUGCAGCUAUUACAUUAUCACGACGACGUGAAAGUCUACAUGUUGUUCCGUUAUUGGGGUCUCUAUUUCAUUUUCCAUUGUUAUCCGUUAUUAUAUUUCCAUUAUUGUCGCUACAGCGUUUGUUCGUUCGAAAAGAAUAUCAAAGUCAUUUUCCUCCAGUAUCAUAAAUGACAUGCGCUUGUUGAUAUCCGCCAACCGCGGUAUCAGUAUCGCCGACGUAAAAUGAUGGACGAUAAAAAUGAGCACGAGAGGAAGGUAGGUUACUGCUAGAUUGAUCACAGUUGCAUCAUUCUCGAAACGAUGAUGUUGUCAGCGUUCGGAAAUCCGCUUAAACGUAAUACGAAUUCGCAGAUAACGCCAAUCAGCCUAUGGCUAGCAAUGCCGAUGAGGAUUCCAUCGAUUUCCGGUCGUGGAGCAAUUUGCGAAUGUCGAGGUACGGUCGCCGUCGAGCUGAAAGUUGAUGACGGAGGGUCGCAAGUGACGAACGAAUUGGAUAAAUCGGUCCGGCUUCGGCGCGACAAUUAGCUAAUGCACAAACCUGCCGCGACAUGCAUUACGUACAUAUACCAGAGUUGCGGGCGAUUACGGUACAAAAGUCACAAUGCAUUUAUGUCGUUUACGUUUUAUCCGAUUACUUUCAGUGAGAUUGUUCUGUCCCGCAACUCGGAACAGAUUUUUCUCUUAAUAAAAGGAUUGUAAAUUAAUAAAAUUUCUAAUUACGCGUACAAGGUUUUUCGGUGAAAAUAAUGUUAUAACAAAGCAAACUUUCGAGCUGAAACUGUGAUUGAUUACAAUGGAUAUUUUAUCGAAUAUUCGUGCCGCAAUGUGUUAUUUCUUCAGUGCGUAUUUUGAGCGCCGCUACUAAAAAUAUAACAAAAAUCACUACAUUUCGCGAUAUAGACGGAUACGUCUAUAAAAUACGAGGAUAUAUUGUAUUUAAUUCUCCCGAUAAUAUUGCUUUAAAUUAAUAUUCAGCACGCGUUAUUCCCGUCGCUCGUCAAAAGGACGUUGCACUCCGGGGACGUAAUUCCAGUAAUUUUUUACGCAUGAUCACCUUUUUCAGAUGAACGAGCGGAGUCGGGGUUCGACGACGUACCAUCGGAAGUGACGAGUAAAUUGGACAAAUCGGUAACCGAUAUCAACGCAACAAUUAGCUAAUGCAUCGAGAGGCGCGGCCCUGCAUCGUGCGCGAUAUACGCGAGUUUUACGAGCGAGCCGAUGGGAGAACUCUCGGACCGCGAGAAAAUUCGCUUUUCCAGACACCCUCGGCCCAACCCCGCCGAUAAUUGCAGACCAUAAAGUGCGAUCCAACAUUCGCCACCCCUACGGCCAACCCCUCGCCUUUUCUACACCGAGCUGGAAAAAACCUCGCACAGUCUCUCUUUCUCUGUUUUUUCUGCCAUUCAUUUCUUUUCUUUCUCUCUCUCUCUCUUUUCAAGUGUCUGCGGAAGACCGACAAUCCAAAAGAAAGGAAUAGCGGUUACGAGGGUGAAUCCUCUCUCUCGCGCGCUUCCUCACAGAUUUUUAAUGGUUAUCGUUUUUUAAUGGACCUGUGCGCCGCGCACGUAUGGUUGCUUGAAAAGAUUAUGGCGGAACUGAAGCAUUGUUUGCAUUAAUGGCGAGAGGUCGAGAAUUAUUCGAGUGGUCGUGGGCUACGGGAAAAACGAUGGCAAAUAUUUUGAAUUGUCGCCGAGUGAACUCGACGAGUUUCGUUUGCAAUCCAACGUGAUACUGCAGCGAGAUGUAGCCCAAUUUUUCCGCCACUAAUGAUUAUAUAAUAAUGAAAUUUGGCAAAAAUUAGAACACUUAUGUAUCAUGUAUCUUGCGUUUAUAACCUUCUGAUUAAUCAGAAUAACAAAUAUCUUUUGAUUGAACUUGGAUGCAUAAUAAUAUGUGCUCGUCAUUUCAGUAUAUACAAUAAAUAAUGAAAAUGAUUGUAGUUACUUAAGAGUUAUUUUCAAUAAAAGACGUGAACAUAGACCAUUAAAUUACGAUGAUACAUUAAUUUCUAUGUGAACCGAAAUUGUUUAAUUUAUAUGCGUAUUGCUAUACGCGAUUAUGUGAAAUUGCGAUUAUUCAUACCAGCGCGAAUUAUUAUUUAGAGUACCAUCAGGAGUGGCAUUACAUUACACAUUCAAUCAGCGGCCCCUUUAAAAUGAUGCAUGCGGUAAUGUGGCUAUAUUUAUUAUUAUUAGCUGGACAAGCGAACAUGCUUGUUUACGCGCCGAUACGUGUUCGUGGUACGGUGGAGGCCACAUCGUCGGUCGUAAAGGUUUAAUCGAUUCUCGACCGGAUCUCGAGCACGCUGUGCGCACGCGACGUACAUCGUGCACCCCGACCUACGAUUUCACCCUCUUUUUACCAUUCGCACGGCGUAUUCGUCCGCCUAUUUCGUAACAUUGCACCGAUUUCACGUGGUCGAGAGUUCGUAUCGAAACGAGGGACCGUCCGGAACGAGUUACGCCUACUUCGCAGCUUCCCAUGUGACAAGAAAGUGAUGACUAUAAAACAAAGAUCUUGUCCUUUAUUUGGUGCAAUAAAAGUUUUAUUGCGGCAUUGACAAACGUUUUUCUUUUUCUUUUUCUUUUUAACAAAUGACUCUUAUUAUCCUCGGGUCAAACGCGAAGUGACUUUUAUUGCUGUCGAAGUGACAGAGAAGCUUACGAUUCGAUUCCGGAAUUGGACGCGAUUGCAUUUUCGUCGACGUAGAUCACUUGGUUCGUUUCGGACAUCGUAAAUUUUUUACCGGCUUUCGACAGUUCGCGUUGGCGAUACCUAUCAACUGCGACCCGUGAUUUCACCCUUCUCGUUAUUCGCACAGCGUACUUGACCCGUCGCUUCCACCCACCGUCACGCUAAUUUCCCGUAAUCGAGUGCACGGUGCUACGUAAAAAUCUGCUCACGAUUUUACAUUCUCUUUGGUGUGUUAUUAUCUCGAAAUCACGCCGCUUCUCCACGAGCGCUGCUGUGUUUCGGCCUUUCGAUUAGUUUCUACUUGCUAUCAGCCAUCAAGCAAUUAUGCUCGACUUCCGCUAUUUUUGCGCUGUUAAUUAUUAUCAAUCAAGAUUACUCAUGCAAUGUUAUAUAAAAUAAGAUAGAGGUAAAACGAUAAGACGAUUGUAAAUUUUUUCACACAUUUAAAGUCUCUUCUUAAAAUCUUAAAAAUAAUGGAAAAUAAUAAAUAAUCAUAAUGAUAAA